AUGGUCUCAGGUAAAGUUUUAACCCUGAAAGAGUUCUGGAAGGAAGAUUACUACAUACUUUCCUGUAUGACAUUAAUUGAGAAAUCCUGGGCCAAUGUCUGUCUGAGGAAACGUAGAUCUGCCUGUUCACAGGAUAGAGACUUUGAAGACUGUGUAGAGGAGCUUUCAAUUGACCAACUUGAGUUACAACCAGCCCUUGGAAAUCAAUUGACAGUCUAGCAGCUUUGAAUGAUUGAGGGCAUUUACCAAUCAGACAGUCAUGGAGUUCAUCAUGACAAGGUACCAGCCAGUAUGACAAAAGGAAGAGGUCCCCACUUGCCAUGGGCCUCAUCAGAUCCAGGUCUAGCCCCAAUCUUCACCCCUGGUCAGCAUGAAGCAGCUCCAGAAGAAGAGACCUUUGCCCAACUGUCAUAAAACAAAAGCCUGGAAUGAUAGGUCUCCCACUACCUCAGCAGCUAUUAUGUAUAGUAGCUGCCCUCUUCCUAUGGUGCCUUGCCCUCCCCUGUGUGACAUCAUGCCAAGAUGGCUGCUCCCACCAAAGAAUAAACCCUUCUUCCCAGCAUGCCCGUUCCCACCUAGAAAGUAACCUAAUACUCGCUCACCUCCUACCACCUAGUGACAUCAUGGGCUCCUCCAUUCCCUAGUCACUACCUCACUCAACCCCACCUCAGC
This 672-nucleotide long non-coding RNA is filed under the name Heterocephalus glaber (naked mole-rat). RNAcentral's name for it is "lncRNA (ENSHGLG00000048273.1)". Lineage: Eukaryota; Metazoa; Chordata; Mammalia; Rodentia; Bathyergidae. The record is from RNAcentral.